Molecule: ribosomal RNA, 480 nt
Filed under: uncultured bacterium
Lineage: Bacteria
Description: partial 16S ribosomal RNA
Rfam family: Bacterial small subunit ribosomal RNA
Source: RNAcentral
GACGAACGCUGGCGGCGUGCUUAGCACAUGCAAGUUGAACGAGAAUUUUUCGAGUGAUUUCUUCGGAAUGAUCAUGAAAAAGGAAAGUAGCGAACGGGUGAGUAACACGUGAGAAACCUGCCUUUCACAAAGGGAUAGCCUCGGGAAACCGGGAUUAAUACCUUAUGAAACCAAACACUCGCAUGAGAGAUUGGUUAAAGAUUUAUCGGUGUUAGAUGGUCUCGCGUCUGAUUAGCUAGUUGGUGGGAUAAAAGCCUACCAAGGCAACGAUCAGUAGCCGGAUUGAGAGGUUGAACGGCCACACUGGAACUGAGACACGGUCCAGACUCCUACGGGAGGCAGCAGUGGGGAAUUUUGCACAAUGGAGGAAACUCUGAUGCAGCGACGCCGCGUGAGUGAUGAAGGUCUUCGGAUUGUAAAACUCUGUCCUUAGUGAAGAUAAUGACAGUAACUAAGAAGCAAGCCCUGGCUAAAUACGUG